RNAcentral lists this ribosomal RNA (492 nucleotides) under uncultured bacterium. Its description in RNAcentral is "partial 16S ribosomal RNA". It matches the Rfam family "Bacterial small subunit ribosomal RNA", at positions 29 to 507 of the family's 1533-position model. The record is from RNAcentral.
AGUGAACGCUGGCGGUAGGCCUAACGCAUGCAAGUCGAACGGCAGCACAGUAAGAGCUUGCUCUUACGGGUGGCGAGUGGCGGACGGGUGAGGAAUACAUCGGAAUCUACUUUUUCGUGGGGGAUAACGUAGGGAAACUUACGCUAAUACCGCAUACGACCUACGGGUGAAAGCAGGGGAUCUUCGGACCUUGCGCGAUUGAAUGAGCCGAUGUCGGAUUAGCUAGUUGGCGGGGUAAAGGCCCACCAAGGCGACGAUCCGUAGCUGGUCUGAGAGGAUGAUCAGCCACACUGGAACUGAGACACGGUCCAGACUCCUACGGGAGGCAGCAGUGGGGAAUAUUGGACAAUGGGCGCAAGCCUGAUCUAGCCAUACCGCGUGGGUGAAGAAGGCCUUCGGGUUGUAAAGCCCUUUUGUUGGGAAAGAAAAGCAGCAGGUUAAUACCCCGCUGUUCUGACGGUACCCAAAGAAUAAGCACCGGCUAACUUCGUG